UUGUUAUCUUGUUGCCGUUUAUUAUUGAGUCUUUGGCUAGGCUAUCUACGUAUUCAUUACAAUAAAUACCUGAGUGUCCCGGGAUCCAUUGGAAUGUUACAUUUUUACCACUUUUAAUAACUUCAUAGAUAAUACUUACUGGUAUGCCUUCUCCUUUAUAGCUGUUAUAGACUUUAUCGAGUGCUUGUAUAGCUGCUUGUGAAUCGGAGUGAUGUGAGGUGGGACUUAUCCUGAACACUAAGUCUAUCAUCCUGAACUGGUUUGGUAGGCGGAUUGGUUUUAUCUACAAUAGGCCUACUUAUUUCUUUAGGUUUAUAUAAACUACUAUUUCUGAUGGGCCUACGAUAGCUAGUUCUACUAACCUUAAACUGUGAAGAAAACGGUUGCUGGCUGGAUGAACUUGGUUCUGAGACUGCAAGCAGUGGUGUAUACCUAUUACUUACAUUUAAUUGACUGAUAGGUGUUGAUGCCUGUGAGCUUGGUAGUGUUGGGUAGAUUUCAUCAUCAGUGAAGUCUAAUUGGGCGACCUGUGAAUAAGAUAGGCCUAGUAAUCGAGAUGGUUUACCUUGUUUUUUUAUAAGUAAUAGGAAAAUACUGUGCUGCCACAUGAUAACCUUCUUUCAUGAGACUCAUCCGAUCUUUAAUAUUUUUUUGCCUUAUAUACUCUGGGCAAUAUUUAGAGUUACUGCUAUGUGAAUCACCGCAGUGAACACACUUGCGGGGAGCCUGACAAGGAUCUGUGUGGAAGGGUCCAGCACAGUCCCUACAUAUUCUAGGUUUAUUACAAGGUGAGUUCGCUACGUGUCCAUAGGCAAAACAACGAUAACAUUGUUUCACUCUGAUCAUGUAGGGGUCUACCUUCAUACGAACAUAAUUAAGGUACACAAAAUCUGGUAAUUUUUCAGCCUCGAAGGUUAUUUUAACAAAAUGAGUGUUAGUGAGUUGGUCAUUACCAUUCACUCUACGUCUGAUCCUUUCAGCCUGAAUGAUUGGGUAUAUUGACGAUGCCUCAGAUAAAAUUUCUAAUUCACUUACCUCGGGCUCUGCAUAGACUACACCGAGAGUGUGUACUCUAAUUGAGGGUACAAAUACAUUAAAUUCUAACAGAUGUGGUGAAUUUACUAAAUUAUUGGCUGCUAUAUAGUUUUUACAAAUAACAGAUAUAUUCUUACCAGCUCGUGUAAUGUGGUCAAUGUCCAUAUGAUGUUUUUUAAGUAUUUUUCCUACUGUAAAUGGGUUUAUUUUGUUCUUUUUUUUAUCCUGUAUGAUUACCUCAAAAGGUCCUGAAUUUUCAGGUUUAUAGAGACGUUGUAUGUGAGGCUUUUUAAGUGGUGGAUUAAAAUCAUUGGUAGAUUGAAUUUGUUCUGAACAA
Long non-coding RNA from Homalodisca vitripennis (glassy-winged sharpshooter), 1372 nucleotides. RefSeq lists it as uncharacterized. Lineage: Eukaryota; Metazoa; Arthropoda; Insecta; Hemiptera; Cicadellidae. The transcript is spliced from 2 exons. The record is from RefSeq and is a predicted model, not a curated record.